Cyprinus carpio carpio is the source of this 1126-nucleotide long non-coding RNA. The record is from Ensembl. NCBI's taxonomy places the organism in Eukaryota, Metazoa, Chordata, Actinopteri, Cypriniformes, Cyprinidae.
UCGGGAAGUGAAGAGUGCCAUGUGUUUGGGCAGGCCUACUCUAAUGUUGUGCCCAAGGUUCCCACCACUUCCUUCCGAGACCAGGUGUUGGAGGAGGGGAGGCAGAUCCAGCCUUGGCGUUGCUGUGUCCCGUAAGAGCGCUACACAUAUACGUGGACCGCACCCAGAGCUUCAGAAGCUCUAAGCAGCUCCUUGUCUGCUUUGGAGGUCAGCAGAAAGGGAAGGCUGUCUCCAGGAAGAGGUUGGGCCACUGGAUAGUGGAUGCCAUCGCCUUGGAGUACCAAUCCCAAGGCGAGCUGUGCCCCCUGGGGGUGAGAGCCCACUCCACUCAGAGUGUUGCCUCCUCCUGGGCGCUGGCGCAUGGGUUUUACAACCUUCGUGUAGAGCCAGUUUCUUCCUGUUUGUUGGGUAACAGGUAAGUGGCGGGCAGGACUUGCUCUGUGUCAUGCUUGCUGCGCCAUUCCCCCUCACACGGGGAUGCGAGCGCCUUUCUUCUCCCAGCAGAGUUCCCCGGUUGGCGAACCCUGGUCGAGCAUCCCCCUUGGCGGAGCAGUCUGACGCCAGGCCCAGUACUGGUGUUAGCACUCCUGGAGUUCCGGUCAGCCCUUGUUCUGGGCUAGAUGUCCAUAUGGUUUGAUUCCCUACGGGUAAUCCCAUAUGUGUAUUCUUCCACGGUAAGACCCGCUCUGUCAGUCUCUUCUGGCAGAUGUUCCAUCCCUACUCUAAGGUAGGACCUGCCUCAGAGACCCAUUCCAUAUGUAGUACUGCCCCCUGGGUCACCUCCCUACGGGUAGGAUGUGGUCUCCGUAGCGACCUCUUCCCUUAAGGCUCACUUUCCCAUCGUUCUACCAGGCUGAAAGAACAAAUAGGAAAGAUUUGAAGCAAUCUUUCAGUGAAGGUUAAAAUCCCUUCCAAAAAACUUUUUUGUUCCCCUUCGGUACCAAGGUCAGUGAAUUUGCGCUGGGGCUUUGGGAAGGUUACGACCUUAGCGUAGCUUUUGUGGCAUGCCACGGCUUGUCAACAAUUGCAGUGCCACAGGGUUGUGAUGGUGUUCAGGUUGUGGUGUUUCCCAUGGACCCCAUAUGUUAUUCGACAUAACUCAUAGUGACCGACAGAUAGGGAACGU